This 253-nucleotide ribosomal RNA is filed under the name uncultured bacterium. RNAcentral's name for it is "partial 16S ribosomal RNA". It matches the Rfam family "Bacterial small subunit ribosomal RNA", at positions 524 to 776 of the family's 1533-position model. The record is from RNAcentral.
UACGAAGGGGGCUAGCGUUGUUCGGAAUUACUGGGCGUAAAGGGCGCGUAGGCGGUACUUCAAGUCAGGCGUGAAAGCCCCGGGCUCAACCUGGGAACCGCGCUUGAGACUGGAGAACUAGAGUUCGGGAGAGGAUGGUGGAAUUCCCAGUGUAGAGGUGAAAUUCGUAGAUAUUGGGAAGAACACCGAUGGCGAAGGCAGCCAUCUGGACCGACACUGACGCUGAGGCGCGAAAGUGUGGGGAGCAAACAGG